This 441-nucleotide ribosomal RNA is filed under the name uncultured bacterium. RNAcentral describes it as "partial 16S ribosomal RNA". It matches the Rfam family "Bacterial small subunit ribosomal RNA", at positions 338 to 795 of the family's 1533-position model. The record is from RNAcentral.
CCUACGGGUGGCAGCAGUGGGGAAUAUUGCACAAUGGGGGGAACCCUGAUGCAGCGACGCCGCGUGGGGGAAGGAGUGCUUCGGCAUGUAAAGCCCUAUCGGCAGGGAAGAAACAAGACGGUACCUGACUAAGAAGCCCCGGCUAACUACGUGCCAGCAGCCGCGGUAAUACGUAGGGGGCGAGCGUUAUCCGGAUUCACUGGGUGUAAAGGGGGCGUAGACGGGCAGGCAGGCAAGGGGUGAAAGCCCGGGGACCAACCCCGGGACUGCCCUUGGAACUGCAGUGCUGGAGUGCGGGAGGGGCAGGCGGAAUGCCUGGUGUAGCGGUGAAAUGCGUAGAUAUCAGGAGGAACACCGGCGGCGAAGGCGGCAUGCUGGACCGCGACUGACGUUGAGGCUCGAAAGCGUGGGGAGCGAACAGGAUUAGAUACCCCAGUAGUC